UACGAAGGGUGCAAACGUUGCUCGGAAUCAUUGGGCGUAAAGCGCACGUAGGCGGCUUCACAAGUCGGAUGUGAAAUCCCGUGGCUCAACCAUGGACGUGCAUUCGAAACUGCGAAGCUUGAGUAUGGAAGAGGGUCGCGGAAUUCCCGGUGUAGAGGUGAAAUUCGUGGAUAUCGGGAGGAACACCAGUGGCGAAGGCGGCGACCUGGGCCAAUACUGACGCUGAGGUGCGAAAGCGUGGGGAGCAAACAGG
This 253-nucleotide ribosomal RNA is filed under the name uncultured bacterium. RNAcentral's name for it is "partial 16S ribosomal RNA". It matches the Rfam family "Bacterial small subunit ribosomal RNA", at positions 524 to 776 of the family's 1533-position model. The record is from RNAcentral.